AUGAAGUUGGUGUAGCUCUGCCAGGAGUUGAUGGCCUAGAAGAACUUGGACUACGAAUUGGAGUUGUAGCCCUCACUGGAGUUCCAUUCCUAGACGGCUCUUGGCUAGCAAUGGGAGUCAUUUCUGUACCCAUAUCUCUCAUUGAUACAGACCUUGCUGUUGAAGGAGGAGGAAUAAAUGCAGUAGCACUAUGCAUGGCCGGAGAUGAAUCAUGCUGGCUAAGGCUAA
RNAcentral lists this unclassified non-coding RNA (228 nucleotides) under Hevea brasiliensis (rubber tree). Lineage: Eukaryota; Viridiplantae; Streptophyta; Magnoliopsida; Malpighiales; Euphorbiaceae. The record is from RNAcentral.